This 396-nucleotide ribosomal RNA is filed under the name uncultured bacterium. RNAcentral's name for it is "bacterial SSU rRNA". It matches the Rfam family "Bacterial small subunit ribosomal RNA", at positions 28 to 422 of the family's 1533-position model. The record is from RNAcentral.
GACGAACGCUGGCGGCGUGCCUAACACAUGCAAGUCGAACGGGGUUGAGGUCUUCGGACCUUAACUUAGUGGCGAACGGGUGAGUAACGCGUGAGAAACCUGCCUUUCAGUGGGGGACAACAGUUGGAAACGACUGCUAAUACCGCAUAAUGUUAUUUGGGGGCAUCCCUGAAUAACCAAAGCUUUAUGUGCUGAAAGAUGGUCUCGCGUCUGAUUAGCUAGAUGGCGGGGUAACGGCCACCAUGGCGACGAUCAGUAGCCGGUCUGAGAGGAUGAACGGCCACAUUGGGACUGAGAUACGGCCCAGACUCCUACGGGAGGCAGCAUGGGGAAUAUUGGGCAAUGGGGGAAACCCUGACCCAGCAACGCCGCGUGAAGGAAGAAAGGGCUUUCGGG